This 341-nucleotide ribosomal RNA is filed under the name uncultured bacterium. RNAcentral's name for it is "bacterial SSU rRNA". It matches the Rfam family "Bacterial small subunit ribosomal RNA", at positions 28 to 368 of the family's 1533-position model. The record is from RNAcentral.
GAUGAACGCUAGCGGGAGGCCUAAUACAUGCAAGUCGAACGGUAAGGUCCCUUCGGGGAUACACGAGUGGCGGACGGGUGCGUAACGCGUACGAAACAUACCUUCAACAGGGAGAUACCUCCGGGAAACUGGAAAUAAUACCCCAUAGUAUUGAGAUAACGCAUGAUAUUUCAAUUAAAGCUUUGGCGGUUGAAGAUUGUCGUGCGUCUGAUUAGCUAGUUGGUGAGGUAACGGCUCACCAAGGCGACGAUCAGUAGCUGGUCUGAGAGGAUGAUCAGCCACACUGGAACUGAGACACGGUCCAGACCUCCGUACGGGAGCAGCAGGUAGGGAAUAGUUGG